UGAUCGCAUGGUCUUGCACCGGCGACGUGUCUUUCAAGUAUCUGCCUUAUCAACUUUCGAUGGUAGUUUAUGUGACUACCAUGGUUGUAACGGGUAACGGAGAAUAAGGGUUCGACUCCGGAGAGGGAGCCUGAGAAACGGCUACCACAUCCAAGGAAGGCAGCAGGCGCGCAAAUUACCCACUCUCGGUACGAGGAGGUAGUGACGAAAAAUAACGAGACCGUUCUCUAUGAGGCCGGUUAUCGGAAUGGGUACAAUUUAAAGCCUUUAACGAGGAUCUAUGAGAGGGCAAGUCUGGUGCCAGCAGCCGCGGUAAUUCCAGCUCUCAAAGUGUAUAUAGUCAUUGCUGCGGUUAAAAAGCUCGUAGUUGGAUCUGCGCCUCAGGACUUGGUCCGCCCACUGGGUGUGAACUGAGCUCCUAGGCUGAAACUGCUGGUUUUCCCUUCGUGGCCUUCACCGGUUGCGUUGGGUGGCUAGCGAGUUUACUUUGAAAAAAUUAGAGUGCUCAAAACAGGCUCUGCCUGAAUAUUCGUGCAUGGAAUAAUGGAAUAGGACUUCGGUUCUAUUUUGUUGGUUUUCUGAACGGAGGUAAUGGUUAAGAGGGACAGACGGGGGCAUUCGUAUCGCUGCGUGAGAGGUGAAAUUCUUGGAC
RNAcentral lists this ribosomal RNA (652 nucleotides) under Cucullanus carettae. Its description in RNAcentral is "SSU rRNA". It matches the Rfam family "Eukaryotic small subunit ribosomal RNA", at positions 266 to 925 of the family's 1831-position model. Lineage: Eukaryota; Metazoa; Nematoda; Chromadorea; Rhabditida; Cucullanidae. The record is from RNAcentral.